This 492-nucleotide ribosomal RNA is filed under the name uncultured bacterium. RNAcentral describes it as "partial 16S ribosomal RNA". It matches the Rfam family "Bacterial small subunit ribosomal RNA", at positions 29 to 507 of the family's 1533-position model. The record is from RNAcentral.
AGUGAACGCUGGCGGUAGGCCUAACACAUGCAAGUCGAACGGCAGCACAGUAAGAGCUUGCUCUUACGGGUGGCGAGUGGCGGACGGGUGAGGAAUACAUCGGAAUCUACUUUUUCGUGGGGGAUAACGUAGGGAAACUUACGCUAAUACCUCAUACGACCUACGGGUGAAAGCAGGGGAUCUUCGGAACUUGCGCGAUUGAAUGAGCCGAUGUCGGAUUAGCUAGUUGGCGGGGUGAAGGCCCACCAAGGCGACGAUCCGUAGCUGGUCUGAGAGGAUGAUCAGCCACACUGGAACUGAGACAGGGUCCAGACUCCUACGGGAGGCAGCAGUGGGGAAUAUUGGACAAUGGGCGCAAGCCUGAUCCAGCCAUACCGCGUGGGUGAAGAAGGCCUUCGGGUUGUAAAGCCCUUUUGUUGGGAAAGAAAAGCAGCAGGUUAAUACCCCGCUGUUCUGACGGUACCCAAAGAAUAAGCACCGGCUAACUUCGUG